GGACGAUGAAGGAAACAUCUGUGCUGUGUCUGCUCUGAGUCGAGGAAACACAGCAGGCAGUGAAAAGAUCAAAUCAUUCACUCAUUAUAUCAACACAGCUUACUUCUAUUCACUGACAUCUUAAUCCUGGGUUCUCCUGAGCUUGAACCUGAACGUCAGACAAACCAUCGACUGCAGGAGACAUGAGCCUCAGACCAUCUCACCAUCAUCAUCUUCAUCAUCACCAUCAUCAUCAUCAUCAUCAUCAUCAUCAGACAUGGCUGGUAAGGACAUGAGGAGGAAACAGUAGGAGCUGUGUGAGGCUACUAAAGGCAGUGGAUCCCUCAGCAGCUGGAUUACAAAGAGCACAGUCUACAGUCUCAGAUCAACACAGCCCUGCCCUCCAGCACUAUCAGCAGCAGGAGCAGCAGAAACACCUCAACAGCAACAUUGUACCCAUCAGUCCAAAGAGGGAGAGAGGAAAGAGGGGAACGUGAGGAGAAAGUACAAGGUCAGGAAGAACCAGCACAGAAAACCAACAACAGCAGCAACAAGAAUCACAGAAACACUCAGACCAGCGAUGAGUCCAACAGGUGCAACUGUGUCUCCUCCUGUCUGACCUGCAGCAGCCAAUUUGAGGUGUUCUCCCCUUGAGCCCAUGUUAAAAGGCUGGCUUCACUACACACCACAGAAAGAGAAACAGGACAAAGUUCUGCAGUAUUUAAACAUGAACGUGGAUAUUUGACCUGGUGUAAUGUGUUCGUCCCUCAGUCUGCUGAGAUGAUCACCACUCAUCUCUUCAAGCGACCAGAAAACCAACAACAGCAGCAACAAGAAGCCCAGCAGGAACACUCAGACCAACAAUCAGUCCAACAGAUCCUCCUGUGUGACCUGCAGAUCCACCCGGUUCUUAAAAGAUGGAUGCUGACCAUCUGGAUCCAGCCGGUCAUCCCGGAAAAAAAGCACAUAAUUAUCUCCCAGGUCAGCUCUGUUCCUCUUCAUACCUUGCAUGAUUUUGUCUGAUGGAACUCGACAUGGUAGAACUACGUCCUGUCCAGGCUCAGCUGUGACGGUGUUCUGGGCUGAAACAGGAAACAACACAGAGCAGAGAGGUUAACGGUCAAAGUACAACUAUUCACUUCUACAUCAGCUAAUCAGAGAGAGAAGAGGGGAAAAAAAACCAAACUUCUUGUACUUUAUUUAAGAAGAAAGUUGCCAAACCUUUGAAUCUGUAAGUCAGAUCAGACUCUUGUUAUAUACAAGCAGUUUUCAGUUCUCUCUGGGUAGUUUGGCUUCCUCCAACAGUCAUGCAGUUUGUUGCACAGUAAGUAUUAAAUCAUAGAUUUUAAAGACAUUUUUCUGAAUCUGAUAAUCCGGCUCUUUGGAAAAGAGGAAGAAAUAAGCAGAUGUGGGACAUUCACUAAAAAGCAUAGAGGAUUUAUUUGUUUAUAUGGGGAAAAAGAGAAAGAAGUGGGUAUUGAGAAUGUCUCCUGUGGCUGCUGUGGAGGUGGAAGUAGAACAGAAGCCACUUGACAUUAAGGUUGGGCGAUGUGUGAAAUUUUUCCAGUCAACAAGGGCGACUUUUUAAAGGGUGGAACAACUGAUUUGCACAUUUAGAAUUUAUACGUUUUGUUUGGAGGGAAUAUUUUACCUUCUUCUCUUGUUUGUUUCAGUAUUAAUAUUAGAGUUGGAUGUCUCGAGAUCGGUCUUGGUCUCGAGACCGGUCUCGAGACCACUUUUACGUGGUCUUGGUCUCGACGGACUUUUGUCUUGGUCUCGGUCUUGGUCUCGACGGACUUUUGUCUUGGUCUUGUCUUGGUCUCGACGGACUUUUGUCUUGGUCUCGGUCUUGGUCUCGCUGUUUCGGUCUUCCGUUCUCAAAUCGACAUAGUGUUCGGGAGAUUUGGAGUCAACCAUCAACGGAGCGGGGGGGUGGCUUACUGGGCUUAAGCCUGGGUCAUUUUUUCAGAAGCAUGGGGUUUUUUGGAGUGUAAUUUGUUAGUUAGAUGCCUGGCUGACAACUGUAUAAAACAAAAACAACACACGAAGCACAGAGCGCACCGUCGUAAAUUCCCCCUAAUUUUGGUUUGAUCCGAGCUUGGACACUAGGCGACUGAGCACAGCACGCAUGUGAGCGAGGGGGGAGAAGCUGCUGCCUGCGAGUUUGCUGCAGACAGAGGAGAGCUUAAGUUCGACCAGGUACCAAAGCAAAUCAUUCGUACUGAACUAAUAAUGUAAAUAUGACGGUGUAUCACAAAAGAUUGAUAUCAAACUGAUCAGUUGGUUGCGUUACUUACUCUUCGAGUGAAUCAACAAAUGGAUCAAUAAAAAGCCGAACAACAAUGCUGAUUUUUUAGAAAGUCUUAGCUUACAUUUCAUAUUUUCAGUUGUUACCCUCCACGGCUAAACAAACUCUCUAAAUCGGUUUCAAUUGUGUACUGAUGAACACAACAAUGGACAUAAGGAGCUUCUUUCAAAGAAAAAACUCAGGUAGAUGUUAUUUUAUAUAUUAUGCUUUGUAUGUUGUUCAGUAUAUCUAUGCAAAACAAGAGGAAUUUCAAUACACAGCAUUAUAUUCACAGAUGAAACCAGAUAUUUACAUACACUUUAGGUAGAAAACAUAAAAACUAUUUUUUACUGUUAAACAUCAAUUUAGAGUAAACUUUUGUUUUAGAUAAAUAAAUGUUGAAAUAUCUUUUGAAUUAGUUAAAUGUCAGAAUAAAAAGAGGGAGCUGUC
Oreochromis aureus is the source of this 2716-nucleotide long non-coding RNA. The record is from Ensembl. Lineage: Eukaryota; Metazoa; Chordata; Actinopteri; Cichliformes; Cichlidae.